UUAUUCUUGAUUUGCUGCAAUUGGUGUUUGGGUGUGGUUUGAUUAGUAGGUUCUUCAUGUACGUUUUGUUGUUCCUAUUAUUAACAAGUGGAAUAGUAUUCAGAUAUUCUAAACAAGUCAAAUAGUAUGCCUUUCAAAGUAUUCCAUUUCAUAUCGAAUAGUAAAGUCGCUCAUAAUGAUUUUCCAUUCUUCUCCCGGUUCAUCCUCUGUUUAGCUCAUUGUUCAUUUAUAUAUUGCAUUUGCCACGAUGAACCAUCCUCACUCUUUGUCUAUCUUUUUUUGAUAACAUCCAGGUUUGUUAUGGACGAGUUAGACCUUUCAAGUGGAUUGUUUGAGAACCCACUGGCAAGAAAAGGGUUAACAACUAUUUCAAUCUCCGUUGGAUUGAAGUGAUAAAGAGUGCAUUGGAGGAUGAGGUGUAGUAGUUUACCACUCCCCCAUUAGAUUUGUAUCCAAGUGACAUUGUAUACAGUAUAUGGAAUGGAAAAGGUACAACAAUAUAU
Molecule: long non-coding RNA, 503 nt
Filed under: Brassica napus (rape)
Lineage: Eukaryota; Viridiplantae; Streptophyta; Magnoliopsida; Brassicales; Brassicaceae
Description: long non-coding RNA (BNAP_LNC016992)
Source: RNAcentral